GGGCCGGUAGCUCAGUUGGUCAGAGCGCCAAGCUUAUACCUUGGUGGUCGCUGGUUCGAGUCCAGCCCGGCCCACCA
Molecule: transfer RNA, 77 nt
Filed under: Patescibacteria group bacterium
Lineage: Bacteria
Description: tRNA-Ile
Rfam family: tRNA
About the family: Transfer RNA (tRNA) molecules are approximately 80 nucleotides in length.
Source: RNAcentral